CCCUUCUCAGGAUCGCACCUGGAGAGUUUCCAGUACUCUACCAGUCUCAGUUACAGGAGGGAGAGUCAAGCAGAGACAUACCCAUUCCAUUCCUAACUUGGACAGUGGCUAGUGAGUAGAAGGCAAUCUCCUGCAGGA
Molecule: small nucleolar RNA, 138 nt
Filed under: Ornithorhynchus anatinus (platypus)
Lineage: Eukaryota; Metazoa; Chordata; Mammalia; Monotremata; Ornithorhynchidae
Source: RNAcentral